This 440-nucleotide ribosomal RNA is filed under the name uncultured bacterium. RNAcentral describes it as "partial 16S ribosomal RNA". It matches the Rfam family "Bacterial small subunit ribosomal RNA", at positions 338 to 795 of the family's 1533-position model. The record is from RNAcentral.
CCUACGGGUGGCAGCAGUGGGGAAUAUUGCACAAUGGGGGAAACCCUGAUGCAGCGACGCCGCGUGAGUGAAGAAGUAUUUCGGUAUGUAAAGCUCUAUCAGCAGGGAAGAAAAUGACGGUACCUGAUUAAGAAGCCCCGGCUAACUACGUGCCAGCAGCCGCGGUAAUACGUAGGGGGCGAGCGUUAUCCGGAUUUACUGGGCGUAAAGGGAGCGUAGGCGGCCGAAUAAGUCUGGAGUGAAAUGCCGGGGCUUAACCUCGGAGCUGCAUUGGAAACUGUGCGGCUAGAGUGCAGGAGAGGUAAGUGGAAUUCCUAGUGUAGCGGUGAAAUGCGUAGAGAUUAGGAAGAACACCAGUGGCGAAGGCGGCUUACUGGACUGUAACUGACGUUGAGGCUCGAAAGCGUGGGGAGCAAACAGGAUUAGAUACCCUAGUAGUC